AACGUGCCCAGUCGUGGGGGAUAACGCAGCGAAAGCUGUGCUAAUACCGCAUACGAUCUACGGAUGAAAGCGGGGGAUCGCAAGACCUUGCGCGAUUGGAGCGGCCGAUAUCAGAUUAGGUUGUUGGUGGGGUAAAAGCCCACCAAGCCGACGAUCUGUAGCUGGUCUGAGAGGACGACCAGCCACACUGGAACUGAGACACGGUCCAGACUCCUACGGGAGGCAGCAGUGGGGAAUUUUGGACAAUGGGCGCAAGCCUGAUCCAGCAAUGCCGCGUGCAG
Molecule: ribosomal RNA, 281 nt
Filed under: uncultured bacterium
Lineage: Bacteria
Description: partial 16S ribosomal RNA
Rfam family: Bacterial small subunit ribosomal RNA
Source: RNAcentral